AGCAUGAGACGGAAAAGGAUAAAUAAGCAGAACGCUUAUAUUAUAUACAAUAGACAUGCAUCAAUUAAUACCAAAAUAAGACCAUUGUCCCGGUCGAAAUACAUAUAUAAGCUUUUGAGAAAAACCUCGAAUAAUUCCCCCCAAAAAACCCUCCAGUAAGAUCUAUAAGUCUAUACAAAAAUAAAAACAACCACAACCUCAUUCGUUUGCCAAAAUAAUUAAGGAUCUGCAAGAAAUAGUAAAAAGGUUGGGAAGUCAAGGCACGUCACAUUCGCAACUUUGCCUCGACAGUGGCAGUGUUUGCUCUCCUGUGAAAGACUCCAUGCAAAUUUCACCUGAGACCUGCAAGACAUUAGCAAAAGCCUAAAAACUCAAGUACGAUAAAAUUUGGGUAACCUUUUUUUUAGGGAGUAAAAUCGUGUAAACUUGCUGCAAGACUGAAAUAAUAUUUAAGUGAAACCUCAUAAUCAGCAUGUCUAGGAUUAUAAGCCUACAAAACAUUACCAAAAAUGAGACAAAUGUUUUCUGCUUGACAAAACUAACCCAUCGGUCAACAUCAUCUCGCUUCCAAACCUUCUGUCAACAAUGACUCAAAUCUUGAUAUAAUGGCAAUUGUUGUACACUAAAUCAUGAGAGGCCUACGCAAUUUUCUAUGUACUGGUAGUUGAGAUGAGCAAUUCUUACACCAGUUCCUCACACCAGCCACGAUCAGGGGGCAACCGCAACGGCCACCAUGCACCCACCAUACUGGUCGCGAACCUAAAAUUAAGAAAUUAUCACGGGGACGUACGACUGCAACGGCCACCACAUAUCCACCAUACUGGGCGUGAGCCUGAAAUUAGGAAAGUGGAGACACCAAGAAUUAGAUUUCACUCAGUUCAUCACAGGGUAUGAUAUAUUGUUCUUUGGACAACAUCAACCCGACUAACAACAGGCCUAGGAAGAACUAUACAAAGCAAACAGACAAAAUAUAAAAUGAGGCAAGCACAUUGAACCAUAUAAACAAUUAGUAAGAAGUGCAAAAAGAUAAACACACCAGAAGGAGUCGAUCCACGCGAGGAACCAGACAACCAACCAGUAAUGAAAUUCGGACGAUACAGAACUUCCACAUCAGAUGCAACUCUAACAGCAACAAGACAAGGAUCAAUCAAUUCUUCUAGUGCAGGCCGAACAUUCCUUCCAACUGCAAGAAUCAAUAAAUUGGCUAGAAAGAUUAGAAAAAACUAAAGCUAAAGAAGGUUAAAAAAGAAUCCAAACAAAUAUCAAGAAUAAUACUAAACAUAACCGCAUGCCAAACACCCACCAAACGGUGGAUCUACAUAACGUUUCCCACUGCGAAUAUCUUGGCAUUCCUGGGUGUCGCCAUCGCGCCUCAUC
This 1377-nucleotide long non-coding RNA is filed under the name Triticum aestivum (bread wheat). RNAcentral describes it as "long non-coding RNA (TAES_LNC010905)". The record is from RNAcentral. Lineage: Eukaryota; Viridiplantae; Streptophyta; Magnoliopsida; Poales; Poaceae.